AGAAAAUUUCACACAUGCAUCGUCACGGCUGACGGGGUGCCCAAGCGGUUGUCAGUCGGGAUGCAUGGAGGAUUAAC
This 77-nucleotide small RNA is filed under the name uncultured Spiribacter sp. RNAcentral's name for it is "t44 RNA". It matches the Rfam family "t44 RNA", at positions 13 to 95 of the family's 95-position model. From Rfam's summary of the family: This family consists of a number of bacterial RNA genes of between 135 and 170 bases in length. The t44 gene is found between the map and rpsB genes in all species in the full alignment apart from Shigella flexneri. The record is from RNAcentral. Lineage: Bacteria; Pseudomonadati; Pseudomonadota; Gammaproteobacteria; Chromatiales; Ectothiorhodospiraceae.